CGGAUUGAAGCUCAAUAUAUAAAUAAAGAGAGAUGAUUUCAGUUAUGGAUGCUGUGAUCUCAAAUGACGCAAAAUCGAGAUCAUCAACGCAAGUGAUCAGAACGAGGUUUUUGGAAACAAUCUUGAUAAUUUCUUUCUUAUUCGCCGCAUUUCUCUUAGUCAUUCCUUACCAAUACGAAAAUGGCAACCCUGUUCCCACCGUGAUAUUCAACGGCAUCCCCUCUUCCGGGUUUCAUGCAUUUGUUGUAUCGCUCCUGUAUGCCUUCACCGGCGCCCUCACCGCUUUGUUAAUUCAUGACACCACCGCCGGCUCAUUUCUUGCUAGAUUUUGUGAGCUUGUUUCAAUCCUUUGUAUGACAUCGGCUGUGUCUUUGUUCGUUUGGUCCCUCUUCACUCUCAGUUUUCCAAAGCCAUUUAUGGGAUUGGGAAGAACGUAAUAGAGCUUGAUCAACGUGGGUGGCUCCUAAAGAAGAUUCCUUGCUUGGGAAUAUGCUUUGUGACGCAGUAAAGUAAGAUGCAAAGUUGAAGGGAGAAUUGCAAAAAAUUAGUAUCAUAUUACAUCAUAUGCAAACAAUUUAAAAUUUACAAGUAAAUCUUAUAUUUAUAAUUAUUUUUAAUUGUUA
This is a non-coding RNA of Camellia sinensis, 623 nucleotides long. Lineage: Eukaryota; Viridiplantae; Streptophyta; Magnoliopsida; Ericales; Theaceae. The record is from RefSeq and is a predicted model, not a curated record.